AACGCUAGCUACAGGCUUAACACAUGCAAGUCGAGGGGUAACGAGAGGAAAGCUUGCUUUCCUUGUCGACGACCGGCGCACGGGUGAGUAACGCGUAUCCAACCUGCCCCCAACUAGGGAAUAACCUUGCGAAAGUAAGACUAAUACCCUAUAAUUUCCUCAGAUGUCAUCUGACGAGGAAUAAAGAUUUAUCGGUUGUGGAUGGGGAUGCGUCUGAUUAGCUUGUUGGCGGGGUAACGGCCCACCAAGGCAACGAUCAGUAGGGGUUCUGAGAGGAAGGUCCCCCACAUUGGAACUGAGACACGGUCCAAACUCCUACGGGAGGCAGCAGUGAGGAAUAUUGGUCAAUGGGCGAAAGCCUGAACCAGCCAAGUAGCGUGCAGGAUGACGGCCCUAUGGGUUGUAAACUGCUUUUAUACAGGAAUAAAGUUAGCCACGUGUGGUUAUUUGUAGGUACUGUAUGAAUAAGGACCGGCUAAUUCCGUGCCAGCAGCCGCGGUAAUACGGAAGGUCCAGGCGUUAUCCGGAUUUAUUGGGUUUAAAGGGAGCGUAGGCCGUCUGUUAAGCGUGUUGUGAAAUGUAGAUGCUCAACAUCUGAAUUGCAGCGCGAACUGGCAGACUUGAGUGUGCGCAACGUAGGCGGAAUUCGUGGUGUAGCGGUGAAAUGCUUAGAUAUCACGAAGAACUCCGAUUG
RNAcentral lists this ribosomal RNA (694 nucleotides) under uncultured bacterium. RNAcentral's name for it is "bacterial SSU rRNA". It matches the Rfam family "Bacterial small subunit ribosomal RNA", at positions 32 to 715 of the family's 1533-position model. The record is from RNAcentral. RNAcentral also lists the same sequence under 1 other name.